UGUGCUAAUACCGCAUAAUCUCUCAGGAGAAAAGCAGGGGAUCGCAAGACCUUGCGCUUUAGGAACGGCCGAUGCCUGAUUAGCUUGUUGGUAAGGUAAAAGCUUACCAAGGCUUCGAUCAGUAGCUGGUCUGAGAGGACGACCAGCCACACUGGGACUGAGACACGGCCCAGACUCCUACAGGAGGCAGCAGUGGGGAAUUUUGGACAAUGGGGGAAACCCUGAUCCAGCCAUGCCGCGUGAGUGAAGAAGGCCUUCGGGUUGUAAAGCUCUUUCAGCCGGACGAACGGU
RNAcentral lists this ribosomal RNA (291 nucleotides) under uncultured Pseudomonadota bacterium. Its description in RNAcentral is "uncultured proteobacterium partial 16S ribosomal RNA". It matches the Rfam family "Bacterial small subunit ribosomal RNA", at positions 159 to 453 of the family's 1533-position model. The record is from RNAcentral. Lineage: Bacteria; Pseudomonadati; Pseudomonadota.